This 249-nucleotide long non-coding RNA is filed under the name Cicer arietinum (chickpea). RNAcentral's name for it is "long non-coding RNA (CARI_LNC000319)". The record is from RNAcentral. Lineage: Eukaryota; Viridiplantae; Streptophyta; Magnoliopsida; Fabales; Fabaceae.
GACUAGACCCAUAUAAAGAAAAGGAAAAAAAGAUGGAUUUGAAAUCCCUCUGUUAGAGAAAAACAACAACAGUGUCGUGUAUUGAAGAACUGUGACGGCACAGAAAAAGAGAAGAAGGAAAUUGGUAUCCGGUAGUAAUAGUAAACUUGUUUCGUUUGGUCUACAAUUUUAGUAUGUUAUUUCUACCACUGAGUUUGGUUUUUUAAUAUUCAGUGUUAGUAGUUUUACCUUCUCAGAGAGUUAAUUUGG